UACGUAGGGGGCAAGCGUUGUUCGGAAUUAUUGGGCGUAAAGGGUGAGUAGGCGGUUUGUUAAGUCGGUUGUGAAAGCCCGGGGCUCAACCCCGGAGGGUCGACCGAUACUGGCAGGCUAGAGUACAGAAGAGGUAACUGGAAUUCCCGGUGUAGCGGUGAAAUGCGUAGAUAUCGGGAGGAACAUCAGUGGCGAAAGCGGGUCUCUGGGCCGAUACUGACGCUGAGGAGCGAAAGCGUGGGGAGCGAACAGG
Molecule: ribosomal RNA, 253 nt
Filed under: uncultured bacterium
Lineage: Bacteria
Description: partial 16S ribosomal RNA
Rfam family: Bacterial small subunit ribosomal RNA
Source: RNAcentral